RNAcentral lists this microRNA (21 nucleotides) under Ananas comosus (pineapple). Its description in RNAcentral is "microRNA s0282_c098". The record is from RNAcentral. Lineage: Eukaryota; Viridiplantae; Streptophyta; Magnoliopsida; Poales; Bromeliaceae.
CCUAGGAUUUUUCGGGGACAC